ACUGAAAGAAAAGAGAGAGCAAUGUUUGAAACUGUAUGAACGAGAAGAUGAGGAUAAGUCGUCAUGCAAACAAAUGACUCAUCAGAUAGAGGAAUAUAGUAAAUGCUCUCAAAAACUGUCUUCACUGAAGGAAGAUAAGUAUAUGUAUCCACUGAAUAUAUUGUCUCCUGCACAAGAGAGAAAUUUAUACUUAAAUAAAGGGUUAGCACUAGAGGAAGAAUAUUCUGAACAUGGUCAUUAUCCAUCAGCAGCAAAACAAGAAAACAAUGGAUAUAUCCUGGAAAUAGAUAAGUUAGAGAAGUUAGUGGAUAUAUAUUCUCAAAGAAUAUCUGCACUGAUGAAAGAGAAUGGGAGUUACUCACAGAAACUCCUCAUGUUACAGGAAGAGAAUGAUAGAUAUUAUCAGAAGAUGUGUGCACUAGAAGAGGAGAUAGAUGCAUAUUCUCGAAACAUAUUAACAGUACAUGAAAUUGAUGUUGACUCUUCCCAAAAGUUAUUAGCCAAGGAGGAAAUAUAUGGUAACUGUUAUAACAGUGUUUCAAAAGAGAAGAACUUUAGGUGCCCAGGAGCGAUUUGUGUUCUCUUGGGUGAAACUGAAAUACUUUCCAAGAACGUCUCUCACCUGGUUAAAGAGGGAGAUAGAAAUUCUGAAAAAGAAAUACCAGUGAUGGAAUCAAAUAAAUUUCUCAAGAAAAUUGUAGCUCUUGAUGAAAAGAAGAUUAAAUAUUUCCAGCUGCUUUCUGGUCUCAAAGAGGAGAGAAAUAGCUUUUUCAGAGAAAUAGCUAAACUCUUACAAGACAAAGAAAAAUAUAUAAAGAAAACUCAUGAACUGGAAGAAGAGAGAGAGAGAAAUUUACAGAUAAUAUCUCGACUAGAAGGAGACAAAGAAACUUUAUUGGGAAGUUUGAGUGAGCUGAAAUGUGAACAAGAUAAAUACAUGACAAUGAUUUCUGAAUUGAAUGAGUGCAAAACCAAAUGCUACCAAACAAUUUCUGAUCUACAAGAGGAAAAACAUAUACUGAAAAAUGAUAUGGAUGGAGUCCACAGGGAAAGUUCUGAACAGCUUCUAGAAUCUCAGAAAGUAAUUGAGAACAUUCUUCAAGAAAACAAUGAAUUGAAGGAAAUAAUGUCUGCUCUUGGAAUCAGCUAUGAAGAGCUGAUAAAAGAUAAAAUUUCUGGAAUGGAAGAAAAGUUGCUAAGAUUGAAGCAAGAAAAUAAGAGUCUACCACAUAGAAUGCAAGCAAAGGAAACAGAGAUGGCUUCUGGUAAAAUACAGACUAAAGAAAAAGGAAUUCAAGUUAUAGAACACUCAAACUGUCUCACUAGAAAAGAUAAAGAAAUCUGUUUGGAAGAGGAUAUUUGUAGCAUUAAACGAUAUUGUCAAGUGGGAUGUUCUAAAAACACUGAGACUUCUAAGUGCCAUUUUAGUAAGGUUGGGAUAAGUGCAUUUUUGGGUGAUCAAAACAUUAUGAUCUCCNGAAAUCUGUUUGGAAGAGGAUAUUGGUAGCAUUAAACGAUAUUGUCAAGUGGGAUGUUCUAAAAACACUGAGACUUCUAAGUGCCAUUUUAGUAAGGUUGGGAUAAGUGCAU
RNAcentral lists this long non-coding RNA (1590 nucleotides) under Gopherus agassizii (Agassiz's desert tortoise). RNAcentral's name for it is "lncRNA (ENSGAGG00000002961.1)". The record is from RNAcentral. Lineage: Eukaryota; Metazoa; Chordata; Testudines; Testudinidae.